AUUGAACGCUGGCGGCAGGCUUAACACAUGCAAGUCGAGCGAGCGGCGGACGGGUGAGUAACGUCUGAGCAACUGCCUGAUGGAGGGGGAAAACUACUGGAAACGGUAGCUAAUACCGCAUACCAUCAGAUGUGCCCAGAUGGGAUGAGCUAGUAGGUGGGGUAAUGGCUCACCUAGGCGACGAUCCCUAGCUGGUCUGAGAGGAUGACCAGCCAAACGGGAACUGAGACACGGUCCAGACUCCUACGGGAGGCAGCAGUGGGGAAUAUUGCACAAUGGGCGCAAGCCUGAUGCAGCAAUGACGCGUGUGUGAAGAAGGCCUUCGGGGUGGAAAGCACUUUCAGCGAGGAGGCGUUACUCGCAGAAGAAGCACCGGCUAACUCCGUGCCAGCAGCCGCGGUAAUUC
Molecule: ribosomal RNA, 406 nt
Filed under: uncultured bacterium
Lineage: Bacteria
Description: partial 16S ribosomal RNA
Rfam family: Bacterial small subunit ribosomal RNA
Source: RNAcentral